This 504-nucleotide ribosomal RNA is filed under the name Hemidactylus mabouia. RNAcentral describes it as "partial large subunit ribosomal RNA". It matches the Rfam family "Bacterial large subunit ribosomal RNA", at positions 1905 to 2609 of the family's 2925-position model. Lineage: Eukaryota; Metazoa; Chordata; Lepidosauria; Squamata; Gekkonidae. The record is from RNAcentral.
CCUGCCAGUGAACUUAUUUCAACGGCCGCGGUAUCCUAACCGUGCAAAGGUAGCGUAAUCACUUGUCCUUUAAAUAAGGACCCGUAUGAAUGGCUAAUUGAGGGUGACACUGUCUCAUACGAUUAAUCAAUGAACCUGAUCUCCCAGUACAAAAGCUGGGAUAAAACCACAAGACGAGAAGACCCUGUGGAGCUUAAAGCCAAAAUACUGACUCACCCUAAAACAGUGUUAGCCUUAAGUUGGGGCAACUACGGAGAAAAACAGAACCUCCGCGAUAAAGGAGCUUAACACCGCCAAGGGGGACACCCCAAAAAGUGCUGCCCCUUAUGACCCAGUAAAACUGAGUGCCGAACCAAGUUACCCCAGGGAUAACAGCGCCAUCCCCCUCAAGAGUCCACAUCAACAGGGGGGCUUACGACCUCGAUGUUGGAUCAGGACACCCAGGUGGUGCAGCCGCUACCAAUGGUCCGUUUGUUCAACGGCUAACGUCCUACGUGAUCUGAG